RNAcentral lists this long non-coding RNA (542 nucleotides) under Monodelphis domestica (gray short-tailed opossum). Its description in RNAcentral is "lncRNA (ENSMODG00000048742.1)". The record is from RNAcentral. Lineage: Eukaryota; Metazoa; Chordata; Mammalia; Didelphimorphia; Didelphidae.
CUGGCUCUGUGCUCUCUGGCUCCCUCCCAGGCUCCUGGCGUUUUCCCGACUCUGUGCUCUCUGGCUCUCUCCCAGGCUCCCAGUGUCCCCCCGACUCUGUGCUCUCUGGCUCCCUCCCAGGCUCCCAGUGUCCCCCCAACUCUGUGCUCUCUGGCUCCCUCCCAGACUCCUGGUGUCCCCCCGGCUCUGGCUCUCUCCUGGUGUCCCCCCGACUCUGUGCUCUCUGGCUCCCUCCCAGGCUCCCAGUGUCCCCCCCGACUCUGUGCUCUCUGGCUCUGGCUCCCAGUGUCCCCCCCGGCUCUGUGCUCUCUGGCUCCCUACCAGACUCCUGGUGUCCCCCCGGCUCUGGCUCUCUCCUGGUGUCCCCCCGACUCUGUGCUCUCUGGCUCCCUCCCAGGCUCCCAAUGUCCCCCCCGACUUUGUGCUCUCUGGCUCUGGCUCCCAGUGUCCCCCCCAGCUCCGUGCACUCAGGCUGCCUACCACACUCCUGGUGUCCCCCCGACUCUGUGCUCUCUGGCUCCCUCCCAGGCCCCCAGUGUCCC